AGCUUUGAGCAGUGACAGUAUCGUAGCCAAUGAGGUUUAUCCAAGGCGCGAUUAUUGCUAAAAGAACGUAUUGUGUUUUCCCCUCUGUGAAAUGUCUGUUCUUUCUUUUGCCCAAUUUUCUACUGAGUUUGUCUUUUUUUUUAAUGA
Molecule: small nuclear RNA, 147 nt
Filed under: Zalophus californianus (California sea lion)
Lineage: Eukaryota; Metazoa; Chordata; Mammalia; Carnivora; Otariidae
Description: U4 spliceosomal RNA (ENSZCAG00015001034.1)
Rfam family: U4 spliceosomal RNA
About the family: U4 small nuclear RNA (U4 snRNA) is a component of the major U2-dependent spliceosome. The structure of U4 snRNA from yeast and human has been reported.
Source: RNAcentral